This 495-nucleotide ribosomal RNA is filed under the name uncultured bacterium. RNAcentral describes it as "partial 16S ribosomal RNA". It matches the Rfam family "Bacterial small subunit ribosomal RNA", at positions 28 to 505 of the family's 1533-position model. The record is from RNAcentral.
GAUGAACGCUGGCGGCGUGCCUAAUACAUGCAAGUCGAGCGAACAGACGAGGAGCUUGCUCCUCUGACGUUAGCGGCGGACGGGUGAGUAACACGUGGAUAACCUACCUAUAAGACUGGUAUAACUUCGGGAAACCGGAGCUAAUACCGGAUAAUAUAUUGAACCGCAUGGUUCAAUAGUGAAAGACGGUUUUGCUGUCACUUAUAGAUGGAUCCGCGCUGCAGUAGCUAGUUGGUAAGGUAACGGCUUACCAAGGCUACGAUGCGUAGCCGACCUGAGAGGGUGAGCGGACACGAGGGAAGUGACACACGCUCAAGACUUAUACGAGGGGCAGCAGUAGGGAAUAGGCCGAAAGGGGCGAAAGCAUGACGGAGCCACGCCGCGUGAGUGAUGAAGGUCUUGGGACUGUAAAACUCUGUUAUUAGGGAAGCACAAAUGUGUAAGUAACUAUGCAUGUUGAGAGGGUACAUAAACAGAGCGCCACCGAAAAACAUG